This 315-nucleotide ribosomal RNA is filed under the name uncultured bacterium. RNAcentral describes it as "bacterial SSU rRNA". It matches the Rfam family "Bacterial small subunit ribosomal RNA", at positions 28 to 338 of the family's 1533-position model. The record is from RNAcentral.
GAUAAACGCUGGCGGCGUGCCUAAUACAUGCAAGUCGAACGAGAGCGAUCCAGCUUGCUGGAUCAAUCUAGUGGCGAACGGGUGAGUAAUACAUAAGCAACCUGCCCACGAAGACCGGGAUAAUCUCUGGAAACGGGGACUAAUACCGGAUAGGUAACAAGAAGGCAUCUUCCUGUUAUUAAAGGUUAAAAACACUGGUGGAUGGGCUUAUGGCGCAUUAGUUAGUUGGUGAGGUAACGGCCCACCAAGACGAUGAUGCGUAGCCGGCCUGAGAGGGUGAACGGCCACAUUGGGACUGAGACACGGCCCAGACUC